RNAcentral lists this ribosomal RNA (253 nucleotides) under uncultured bacterium. RNAcentral's name for it is "partial 16S ribosomal RNA". It matches the Rfam family "Bacterial small subunit ribosomal RNA", at positions 524 to 776 of the family's 1533-position model. The record is from RNAcentral.
UACGGGGGGGGCAAGCGUUGUUCGGAAUUACUGGGCGUAAAGGGCUCGUAGGCGGCCAACUAAGUCAGACGUGAAAUCCCUCGGCUUAACCGGGGAACUGCGUCUGAUACUGGAUGGCUCGAGUUUGGGAGAGGGAUGCGGAAUUCCAGGUGUAGCGGUGAAAUGCGUAGAUAUCUGGAGGAACACCUGUGGCGAAAGCGGCGCACUGGACCACAACUGACGCUGAGGCGCGAAAGCUAGGGGAGCAAACAGG